AGAGUUUGAUCAUGGCUCAGGACGAACGCUGGCGGCGUGCUUAACACAUGCAAGUCGAACGGAAAGCGCUCUUCGGAGUGACUCGAGUGGCGAACGGGUGAGUAACACGUGGGUGAUCUGCCCUGCACUUUGGGAUAAGCCUGGGAAACUGGGUCUAAUACCGGAUAGGACUACGGCCUGCAUGGGUUGUGGUGGAAAGCUUUUGCGGUGUGGGAUGGGCCCGCGGCCUAUCAGCUUGUUGGUGGGGUGAUGGCCUACCAAGGCGACGACGGGUAGCCGGCCUGAGAGGGUGUCCGGCCACACUGGGACUGAGAUACGGCCCAGACUCCUACGGGAGGCAGCAGUGGGGAAUAUUGCACAAUGGGCGCAAGCCUGAUGCAGCGACGCCGCGUGAGGGAUGACGGCCUUCGGGUUGUAAACCUCUUUCAGCAGGGACGAAGCGCAAGUGACGGUACCUGUAGAAGAAGCACCGGCCAACUACGUGCCAGCAGCCGCGGUAAUACGUAGGGUGCGAGCGUUGUCCGGAAUUACUGGGCGUAAAGAGCUCGUAGGUGGUUUGUCGCGUUGUCCGUGAAAACUCACAGCUUAACUGUGGGCGUGCGGGCGAUACGGGCAGACUGGAGUACUGCAGGGGAGACUGGAAUUCCUGGUGUAGCGGUGGAAUGCGCAGAUAUCAGGAGGAACACCGGUGGCGAAGGCGGGUCUCUGGGCAGUAACUGACGCUGAGGAGCGAAAGCGUGGGGAGCGAACAGGAUUAGAUACCCUGGUAGUCCACGCCGUAAACGGUGUGUACUAGGUGUGGGUUUCCUUCCUUGGGAUCCGUGCCGUAGCUAACGCAUUAAGUACCCCGCCUGGGGAGUACGGCCGCAAGGCUAAAACUCAAAGGAAUUGACGGGGGCCCGCACAAGCGGCGGAGCAUGUGGAUUAAUUCGAUGCAACGCGAAGAACCUUACCUGGGUUUGACAUGCACAGG
This 973-nucleotide ribosomal RNA is filed under the name uncultured bacterium. RNAcentral describes it as "bacterial SSU rRNA". It matches the Rfam family "Bacterial small subunit ribosomal RNA", at positions 8 to 994 of the family's 1533-position model. The record is from RNAcentral.